GGUAACGGCCUACCAAGGCAACGAUGGGUAUCCGAGCUGAGAGGCUGAUCGGACACACUGGGACUGAGAUACGGCCCAGACUCCUACGGGAGGCAGCAGGGAGGAAUAUUGGUCAAUGGGGGAAACCCUGAACCAGCAACGCCGCGUGAAGGAAGAAGGCCCUCGGGUUGUAAACUUCUGUUUUCAGGGAAGAAAGAAAUGACGGUACCUGAAGAGAAAGCUCCGGCAAACUACGUGCCAGCAGCCGCGGUAAUACGUAGGGAGCGAGCGUUGUCCGGAAUCACUGGGCGUAAAGGGCGCGUAGGCGGUUUUACAAGUUGCAUGUGAAAUACCAUGGCUCAACCAUGGGGUGUCAUGCAAAACUGUAGGGCUUGAGUGCAGUAGAGGAAAGCGGAAUUCCUGGUGUAGCGGUAAAAUGCGUAGAGAUCAGGAGGAACACCGGUGGCGAAGGCGGCUUUCUGGGCUGUAACUGACGCUGAGGCGCGAAAGCGUGGGGAGCGAACAGGAUUAGAUACCCUGGUAGUCCACGCCGUAAACGAUGAAUAUUAGGUGUAGGCCUUUAAGGUCUGUGCCGG
RNAcentral lists this ribosomal RNA (575 nucleotides) under uncultured bacterium. RNAcentral's name for it is "bacterial SSU rRNA". It matches the Rfam family "Bacterial small subunit ribosomal RNA", at positions 256 to 849 of the family's 1533-position model. The record is from RNAcentral.